Molecule: ribosomal RNA, 426 nt
Filed under: uncultured bacterium
Lineage: Bacteria
Description: bacterial SSU rRNA
Rfam family: Bacterial small subunit ribosomal RNA
Source: RNAcentral
GGGGAAUUUUGGACAAUGGGCGCAAGCCUGAUCCAGCCAUGCCGCGUGCAGGAUGAAGGCCCUCGGGUUGUAAACUGCUUUUGUACGGAACGAAAAGCCUCUUUCUAAUAAAGAGGGGUGAUGACGGUACCGUAAGAAUAAGCACCGGCUAACUACGUGCCAGCAGCCGCGGUAAUACGUAGGGUGCGAGCGUUAAUCGGAAUUACUGGGCGUAAAGCGUGCGCAGGCGGUCUUGCAAGACAGUGGUGAAAUCCCCGGGCUCAACCUGGGAACUGCCAUUGUGACUGCAAGGCUGGAGUACGGCAGAGGGGGAUGGAAUUCCGCGUGUAGCAGUGAAAUGCGUAGAUAAGCGGAGGAACACCGAUGGCGAAGGCAGUCCCCUGGGCCUGUACUGACGCUCAUGCACGAAAGCGUGGGGAGCAAACA